UACGUAGGGCGCAAGCGUUGUCCGGAAUUAUUGGGCGUAAAGAGCUCGUAGGCGGCCUGUUGCGUCCGCUGUGAAAUCCCCGGGGGCUCAACCCCGGGCCUGCAGUGGAUACGGGCUGGCUAGAGGCAGGCAGGGGAGAACGGAAUUCCUGGUGUAGCGGUGAAAUGCGCAGAUAUCAGGAGGAACACCGGUGGCGAAGGCGGUUCUCUGGGCCUGUACUGACGCUGAGGAGCGAAAGCGUGGGGAGCGAACAGG
Molecule: ribosomal RNA, 255 nt
Filed under: uncultured bacterium
Lineage: Bacteria
Description: partial 16S ribosomal RNA
Rfam family: Bacterial small subunit ribosomal RNA
Source: RNAcentral